AGCGUCAUCGGUGGAAACGGUUCCGAUACGGAUCAAAAGGGAACACGGUCAGCCAGACGAUCGGCAAAGCCGCGACUGCCCCCGCAACUGUAGCCGCCGAGCCUCUCUCCGAUAUGCCACUGGAUCGUAACGGUCCGGGAAGGCGGCGGGAGGCGACGACGCGGAAGUCAGGAGACCUGCCGUUCCAGUCACCCAUGC
Molecule: non-coding RNA, 198 nt
Filed under: Aquamicrobium defluvii
Lineage: Bacteria; Pseudomonadati; Pseudomonadota; Alphaproteobacteria; Hyphomicrobiales; Phyllobacteriaceae
Source: RNAcentral